RNAcentral lists this long non-coding RNA (327 nucleotides) under Elaeis guineensis (African oil palm). RNAcentral's name for it is "long non-coding RNA (EGUI_LNC036056)". Lineage: Eukaryota; Viridiplantae; Streptophyta; Magnoliopsida; Arecales; Arecaceae. The record is from RNAcentral.
UGACUAUUAAAAAGGACUAAAACCUUCAAUUUAAACCAGCCAAACAAAGAGAAUACCAAAUAAUUAUGAGAUCCCAAAAAUCCUAACAUAAAUCCUAGAAAAAAAAAAUCCAACUUAAGAACAAUCAUCGGAUCUAGAUUGAACACCAACCCUAGAUAUCGGAAGGGAAUACCUAAGCUUUGGACCAGCAGAAUCUCAUGAUUCCUUCGAGUUUAUCGUUGUCGUGAUGUCACGCAUCACAAUAGCUAAAGAUGGAGGCCAGGUCCUGACCGGUGCUCCCAUGAGGGGAGACUAGGGAGGAGCAGCGUCUAAGGGAGGAGGUUGAGG